GAGACCUCCUCCCUCAGCAGAAGACGCCUAAGGCAGGGAUACAACGAGAGUGGUCCUGGGCCCGCCUUCACCUCGACUUUCCCUAGCCAGACUCCCCUCUAGUUUCCUUGCCCUGGAUGUAUUUUGACGAAUCUGCUCUUAGGGAAGUGACUAGUUGUCCCUCUUUGGAAAAACCUUUGGAAAACCUUCGGGAAUUGCAUGUGGCGUAUUAUUCCAAUAUUUCUGCAUCUUUUUCCCGCCUUUGUCUUAGGCUGGGCACUGGGCUUGCCUCUUCCCAGAUUUUCAUUGUUGCAUUUGUAACUGCUACAAAAAUGCCAUCACUUCAUCGACAUGAAGAAGAGAAGUUCUUCUUAAAUGCCAAAGGCCAGAAGGAAACUUUACCCAGCAUAUGGGACUCACCUACCAAACAACUUUCUGUUGUUGUGCCUUCAUACAAUGAAGAAAAACGGUUGCCUGUUAUGAUGGAUGAAGCUCUGGGCUACCUAGAGAAGAGACAGAAACAAGAUCCUACGUUCACUUACGAAGUGAUAGUAGUUGAUGAUGGCAGUAAAGACCAGACUUCAAAGGUAGCUUUUAAAUAUUGCCAGAGAUAUGGAAGUGACAAAAUACGAGUGAUAACGCUGGUGAAGAAUCGUGGGAAAGGCGGAGCCAUUAGGAUGGGUGUUUUCAGUUCUCGAGGAAAAAAGAUCCUAAUGGCAGAUGCCGAUGGAGCCACAAAGUUUCCAGAUGUUGAGAAAUUAGAAAAGGGACUAAAUGAUCUACAGCCCUGGCCUGAUCAAAUGGCUAUUGCGUGUGGAUCUCGAGCUCAUUUGGAAAAAGAAUCAAUUGCUCAGAAUAAAUGCUCUUUUGGAGGUUUAAUCAGUCAACCAGUAUUUAUUGGAAGUAUUUUAUGUGGAAUGCACUGAGCAAGCUGUUGUGAGAUUCCCAAAGUAUUUUAAGAUGAGGUUUCUGCCCUACCUACUUAGAGAGCGUUCUUACUUCCGUACUCUUCUCAUGUAUGGGUUCCACUUUCUGGUGUGGUUCCUUUGUGUCAAAGGAAUCAGGGACACACAGUGUGGGUUCAAAUUAUUAACUCGAGAAGCAGCUUCCCGGACGUUUUCAUCUCUGCACAUUGAACGAUGGGCAUUUGAUGUAGAACUGCUUUAUAUAGCACAGUUCUUGAAAAUUCCAAUAGCAGAGAUUGCUGUCAACUGGACUGAAAUUGAAGGUUCUAAAUUAGUUCCAUUUUGGAGCUGGCUACAAAUGGGCAAGGACCUACUUUUUAUACGACUUCGAUAUUUGACUGGUGCCUGGAGGCUUGAACAAACUCGGAAAAUGAAUUAGGUUGUUUGCAGUCUUUGAUUGUAUUCUUUAUGCAUCAGUGUCACAUUAAAUAAAGCUAGAAUAAACCUAUUGUCAUUGCCUACCUUUCGAUAAUUAUAAAGAAUUAACUGCUGUAAGUAAAAAUUUAUAUACCUCUUUUGGACAAAAUGGGUUUUUUUAAAGGUGUUUGUAACAAAAGUCAGAUUUUCUUUUGCUUUAGCAAUUUUGCUUAUUCAGCUUAAUUAUUAUGAUUCUGAGAAAUACAACAUUUAGACAGAAGACAGAGCAAUUAUUCUUACUGUAGAGUGCCUGCAUAAUCCUCGUGAACUUAAAUAUAAACCAAAAUCACAUAAUACUUUUCAGAGAUUUAAAAAUAGAAUAUAUAAGUUUAAAUAUAUACGAAUUCAUCCAUGUUGAAGAACUCCAUAUUUCAACCUAUGAAACUCUAGAAGUUAUAUCUUAAUAGCAACACUACAGGGUCAGUAACAAAGGUGUUCGUUUCCUUACACAGUCUUAUUUAUCUCCUUCCUAAUCUUAUGUAUACUGUACUUUUAUACCUUCUGACAACCCUUCCCUCUUGAGUUCAUGUUAUUUGAAAGUUCUUUAUUAAAAAGAGAAUUAAAAGUGGCCAGAUGCAGUAGCUCACACCUGUAAUCCUAGCAC
Molecule: non-coding RNA, 1965 nt
Organism: Microcebus murinus (gray mouse lemur)
Lineage: Eukaryota; Metazoa; Chordata; Mammalia; Primates; Cheirogaleidae
Source: RefSeq, a predicted model, not a curated record